GGGCGCGUAGCUCAAUCGGAUAGAGCAUCGGAUUUCUAAUCCGACGGUUGCAGGUUCGAUUCCUGCCGCGCUCACCA
Molecule: transfer RNA, 77 nt
Filed under: Terriglobales bacterium
Lineage: Bacteria; Pseudomonadati; Acidobacteriota; Terriglobia; Terriglobales
Also listed under: 1 other name
Description: Acidobacteriales bacterium (sediment metagenome) tRNA-Arg
Rfam family: tRNA
About the family: Transfer RNA (tRNA) molecules are approximately 80 nucleotides in length. Their secondary structure includes four short double-helical elements and three loops (D, anti-codon, and T loops). Further hydrogen bonds mediate the characteristic L-shaped molecular structure. tRNAs have two regions of fundamental functional importance: the anti-codon, which is responsible for specific mRNA codon recognition, and the 3' end, to which the tRNAs corresponding amino acid is attached (by aminoacyl-tRNA synthetases). tRNAs cope with the degeneracy of the genetic code in two manners: having more than one tRNA (with a specific anti-codon) for a particular amino acid; and 'wobble' base-pairing, i.e. permitting non-standard base-pairing at the 3rd anti-codon position.
Source: RNAcentral